GGACGAACGCUGGCGGCGUGCUUAACACAUGCAAGUCGAACGGAAAGGCCCUGCUUUUGUGGGGUGCUCGAGUGGCGAACGGGUGAGUAACACGUGAGUAACCUGCCCUUGACUUUGGGAUAACUUCAGGAAACUGGGGCUAAUACCGGAUAGGAGCUCCUGCUGCAUGGUGGGGGUUGGAAAGUUUCGGCGGUUGGGGAUGGACUCGCGGCUUAUCAGCUUGUUGGUGGGGUAGUGGCUUACCAAGGCUUUGACGGGUAGCCGGCCUGAGAGGGUGACCGGCCACAUUGGGACUGAGAUACGGCCCAGACUCCUACGGGAGGCAGCAGUGGGGAAUAUUGCACAAUGGGCGGAAGCCUGAUGCAGCAACGCCGCGUGCGGGAUGACGGCCUUCGGGUUGUAAACCGCUUUCGCCUGUGACGAAGCGUGAGUGACGGUAAUGGGUAAAGAAGCACCGGCUAACUACGUGCCAGCAGCCGCGGUGAUACGUAGGGUGCGAGCGUUGUCCGGAUUUAUUGGGCGUAAAGGGCUCGUAGGUGGUUGAUCGCGUCGGAAGUGUAAUCUUGGGGCUUAACCCUGAGCGUGCUUUCGAUACGGGUUGACUUGAGGAAGGUAGGGGAGAAUGGAAUUCCUGGUGGAGCGGUGGAAUGCGCAGAUAUCAGGAGGAACACCAGUGGCGAAGGCGGUUCUCUGGGCCUUUCCUGACGCUGAGGAGCGAAAGCGUGGGGAGCGAACAGGCUUAGAUACCCUGGUAGUCCACGCUGUAAACGGUGGGUACUAGGUGUGGGGUCCAUUCCACGGGUUCCGUGCCGUAGCUAACGCUUUAAGUACCCCGCCUGGGGAGUACGGCCGCAAGGCUAAAACUCAAAGGAAUUGACGGGGCCCCGCACAAGCGGCGGAGCAUGCGGAUUAAUUCGAUGCAACGCGUAGAACCUUACCUGGGUUUGACAUGGAUCGGGAGUGCUCAGAGAUGGGUGUGCCUCUUUUGGGGUCGGUUCACAGGUGGUGCAUGGCUGUCGUCAGCUCGUGUCGUGAGAUGUUGGGUUAAGUCCCGCAACGAGCGCAACCCUUGUUCACUGUUGCCAGCACGUUAUGGUGGGGACUCAGUGGAGACCGCCGGGGUCAACUCGGAGGAAGGUGGGGAUGACGUCAAGUCAUCAUGCCCCUUAUGUCCAGGGCUUCACGCAUGCUACAAUGGCUGGUACAGAGAGUGGCGAGCCUGUGAGGGUGAGCGAAUCUCGGAAAGCCGGUCUCAGUUCGGAUUGGGGUCUGCAACUCGACCUCAUGAAGUCGGAGUCGCUAGUAAUCGCAGAUCAGCAACGCUGCGGUGAAUACGUUCCCGGGGCUUGUACACACCGCCCGUCAAGUCAUGAAAGUUGGUAACACCCGAAGCCAAUGGCCUAACCGUUGUGGGGGAGCCGUCGAAG
This 1427-nucleotide ribosomal RNA is filed under the name uncultured organism. RNAcentral describes it as "16S ribosomal RNA". It matches the Rfam family "Bacterial small subunit ribosomal RNA". The record is from RNAcentral.